RNAcentral lists this long non-coding RNA (409 nucleotides) under Salmo salar (Atlantic salmon). RNAcentral's name for it is "lncRNA (ENSSSAG00000119724.1)". Lineage: Eukaryota; Metazoa; Chordata; Actinopteri; Salmoniformes; Salmonidae. The record is from RNAcentral.
UAUUAUAAUCUCUGGCUUUGAAUCGUUUCAAUUCCCCGUUUAGUUCGUCUGAUUAGAACCAAAAAGGGGAGGGGGUGUAUUCAUUCGUUGGACUCCGUUAAAAACAAAAAAACGUUUUGCAUCAACAACAACAACAACAACAAACAGUUUUAGUUCGUUUUAGUUUUAUGCUUUUCCACGCGAUGCCAUUCCAAUCUGAAUAGUCUGUGAAAUGGUUAGGGGGGGAGGCAGGUAGCCUAGUGGUUAGAGUGGAGGGACGGCAGGUAGCCUAGUGGUUAGAGUGGAGGGACGGCAGGUAGCCUAGUGGUUAGAGUGGAGGGACGGCAGGUAGCCUAGUGGUUAGAGUGGAGGGAUGGCAGGUAGCCUAGUGGUUAGAGUGGAGGGACGGCAGGUAGCCUAGUGGUUAGAG